AAUAGCUCACUAGUCGAGUCGGCCUGCGCGGAAGAUGUAACGGGGCUCAAACUGGAUACCGAAGCUGCGGCUGCAUACUAUGUAUGCGGGGUAGGGGAGCGUUGUGUAAGUCUGUGAAGGUGUGUUGAGAAGCAUGCUGGAGAUAUCACAAGUGCGAAUGCUGACGUGAGUAACGAUAAUGGGAGUGAAAAACUCCCACGCCGAAAGACCAAGGUUUCCUGCGCAACGCUAAUCGGCGCAGGGUGAGUCGGCCCCUAAGGCGAGGCAGAAAUGCGUAGCUGAUGGGAAACAGGUUAAUAUUCCUGUACUUCUUAUAACUGCGAUGGAGAGACGGAGAAGGCUAUGCCUACCGGGCGUUGGUUGUCCCGGGGAAAGGCUGUAGGCUGAGGUGUUAGGCAAAUCCGGCACCUUAAGGCUGAGAGUCGAGACCACUGGUCCUUUGUGACCGGGAAGUGGUUGAUGCCAUGCUUCCAGGAAAAUCUUCUAAGCUUCAGGUUAUAAGGAACCGUACCCCAAACCGACACAGGUGGUUGGGAUGAGUAUUCUAAGGCGCUUGAGAGAACUCGGGUGAAGGAACUAGGCAAAGUGGUACCGUAACUUCGGGAGAAGGUACGCCGCUGACGGUGAUGAGACUUGCUCUCUGAGCUAUCGGCGGUCGCAGUGAAAAGGCCCCUGCAACUGUUUAUUAAAAACACAGCACUCUGCAAACGCGUAAGCGGACGUAUAGGGUGUGACGCCUGCCCGGUGCCGGAAGGUUAAUUGAUGGGGUUAGCUUCGGCGAAGCUCUUGAUCGAAGCCCCGGUAAACGGCGGCCGUAACUAUAACGGUCCUAAGGUAGCGAAAUUCCUUGUCGGGUAAGUUCCGACCUGCACGAAUGGCGUAAUGAUGGGGGCGCUGUCUCCACCCGAGACUCAGUGAAAUCGAAAUCGCAGUGAAGAUGCUGUGUACCCGCGGCUAGACGGAAAGACCCCGUGAACCUUUACUAUAGCUUCACAGUGGACUUUGAACCUGUUUGUGUAGGAUAGCUGGGAGACUUUGAAGCAGUGACGCUAGUCAUUGUGGAGUCGUCCUUGAAAUACCAGCCUGGCAUGUUUGAGGUUCUAACCUGGGUCCCUUAUCGGGAUCGGGGACAUUGUGUGGUGGGUAGUUUGACUGGGGCGGUCUCCUCCCAAAGAGUAACGGAGGAGCACAAAGGUACCCUCAGCACGGUCGGACAUCGUGCAACGAGCGUAAAGGUAGAAGGGUGCUUGACUGCGAGACUUACAAGUCGAGCAGGUGCGAAAGCAGGUCUUAGUGAUCCGGUGGUUCUGUAUGGAAGGGCCAUCGCUCAACGGAUAAAAGGUACUCCGGGGAUAACAGGCUGAUACCGCCCAAGAGUUCAUAUCGACGGCGGUGUUUGGCACCUCGAUGUCGGCUCAUCACAUCCUGGGGCUGAAGUCGGUCCCAAGGGUAUGGCUGUUCGCCAUUUAAAGUGGUACGCGAGCUGGGUUUAGAACGUCGUGAGACAGUUCGGUCCCUAUCUGCCGUGGGCGUUGGAGAUUUGAGAGGAGCUGCUCCUAGUACGAGAGGACCGGAGUGGACGAACCUCUGGUGUUCCGGUUGUCACGCCAGUGGCAUUGCCGGGUAGCUACGUUCGGACGGGAUAACCGCUGAAAGCAUCUAAGCGGGAAGCCUCCCUCAAGAUGAGAUCUCCCUGGGGGCUUGACCCCCCUGAAGGGCCGUUGAAGACCACAACGUUGAUAGGCUGGGUGUGGAAGCGUUGUAAGGCGUGAAGCUAACCAGUACUAAUUGCCCGUGAGGCUUGACUAU
RNAcentral lists this ribosomal RNA (1809 nucleotides) under seawater metagenome. RNAcentral's name for it is "bacterial LSU rRNA". It matches the Rfam family "Bacterial large subunit ribosomal RNA", at positions 1136 to 2925 of the family's 2925-position model. The record is from RNAcentral.